GUGGGGAAUUUUGGACAAUGGGCGCAAGCCUGAUCCAGCCAUGCCGCGUGCGGGAAGAAGGCCUUCGGGUUGUAAACCGCUUUUGUCAGGGAAGAAAUCUUCUGGGCUAAUACCUCGGGAGGAUGACGGUACCUGAAGAAUAAGCACCGGCUAACUACGUGCCAGCAGCCGCGGUAAUACGUAGGGUGCAAGCGUUAAUCGGAAUUACUGGGCGUAAAGCGUGCGCAGGCGGUUGUGCAAGACAGGUGUGAAAUCCCCGGGCUUAACCUGGGAACUGCACUUGUGACUGCACGGCUGGAGUGCGGCAGAGGGGGAUGGAAUUCCGCGUGUAGCAGUGAAAUGCGUAGAUAUGCGGAGGAACACCGAUGGCGAAGGCAAUCCCCUGGGCCUGCACUGACGCUCAUGCACGAAAGCGUGGGGAGCAAACAGGAUUAGAUACCCGGGUAGUCC
This 450-nucleotide ribosomal RNA is filed under the name uncultured bacterium. RNAcentral's name for it is "partial 16S ribosomal RNA". It matches the Rfam family "Bacterial small subunit ribosomal RNA", at positions 354 to 796 of the family's 1533-position model. The record is from RNAcentral.